Molecule: ribosomal RNA, 253 nt
Filed under: uncultured bacterium
Lineage: Bacteria
Description: partial 16S ribosomal RNA
Rfam family: Bacterial small subunit ribosomal RNA
Source: RNAcentral
UACGUAGGGAGCAAGCGUUGUUCGGAUUUACUGGGCGUAAAGCGCGUGUAGGCGGCCACGCAGGUCCGUUGUGAAAACUAGAGGCUCAACCUCUAGACGUCGACGGAAACCGUGUGGCUAGAGUCCGGAAGAGGAGAGUGGAAUUCCUGGUGUAGCGGUGAAAUGCGCAGAUAUCAGGAAGAACACCAAUGGCGAAGGCAGCUCUCUGGGACGGUACUGACGCUGAGACGCGAAAGCGUGGGGAGCGAACAGG